GGUUGCGAUCAUACCAGCACUAAUGCACCGGAUCCCAUCAGAACUCCGCAGUUAAGCGUGCUUGGGCGAGACUAGUACUAGGAUGGGUGACCCCCUGGGAAGUCCUCGUGUUGCAACCC
Molecule: ribosomal RNA, 119 nt
Filed under: Helianthus annuus (common sunflower)
Lineage: Eukaryota; Viridiplantae; Streptophyta; Magnoliopsida; Asterales; Asteraceae
Source: RNAcentral